RNAcentral lists this non-coding RNA (23 nucleotides) under Cricetulus griseus (Chinese hamster). Lineage: Eukaryota; Metazoa; Chordata; Mammalia; Rodentia; Cricetidae. The record is from RNAcentral.
GUUUUCUCGAUUGUUAAGUACCA